RNAcentral lists this signal recognition particle RNA (98 nucleotides) under Gammaproteobacteria bacterium. RNAcentral's name for it is "signal recognition particle sRNA small type". It matches the Rfam family "Bacterial small signal recognition particle RNA". From Rfam's summary of the family: The signal recognition particle (SRP) is a universally conserved ribonucleoprotein involved in the co-translational targeting of proteins to membranes. RNAcentral also lists the same sequence under 2 other names. Lineage: Bacteria; Pseudomonadati; Pseudomonadota; Gammaproteobacteria. The record is from RNAcentral.
GGCUGGUCUCCUUGGUGGCGACAGGUUGUGAACCCGGUCAGGUCCGGAAGGAAGCAGCCGCAGCAACGAGGUCGAGUGCCAGGAUAAGGCUGGCCGGC